GACGUAGGGGGCGAGCGUUAUCCGGAAUCACUGGGCGUAAAGCGUGCGUAGGUGGCGCGUUAAGUGAGAUGUUAAAUCGUGUGGCUCAACCAUAUCGAUGCAUCUCAUACUGGCGUGCUAGAGGACAGCAGAGGCAAGUGGAAUUUGUAGUGUAGCAGUGAAAUGCGUAGAUAUUACAAGGAACACCAAUGGCGAAGGCAGCUUGCUGGGCUACUCCUGACACUGAGGUACGAAAGCGUGGGGAGCGAACAGG
RNAcentral lists this ribosomal RNA (253 nucleotides) under uncultured bacterium. RNAcentral describes it as "partial 16S ribosomal RNA". It matches the Rfam family "Bacterial small subunit ribosomal RNA", at positions 524 to 776 of the family's 1533-position model. The record is from RNAcentral.